UGCCGCGUGUGUGAAGAAGGCCUUCGGGUUGUAAAGCACUUUCAGUCGUGAGGAAGGCGGUGUAGUUAAUAGCUGCAUCGUUUGACGUUAGCGACAGAAGAAGCACCGGCUAACUCCGUGCCAGCAGCCGCGGUAAUACGGAGGGUGCGAGCGUUAAUCGGAAUUACUGGGCGUAAAGCGCAUGCAGGUGGUUUGUUAAGUCAGAUGUGAAAGCCCGGGGCUCAACCUCGGAAUUGCAUUUGAAACUGGCAGACUAGAGUACUGUAGAGGGGGGUAGAAUUUCAGGUGUAGCGGUGAAAUGCGUAGAGAUCUGAAGGAAUACCGGUGGCGAAGGCGGCCCCCUGGACAGAUACUGACACUCAGAUGCGAAAGCGUGGGGAGCAAACAGGAUUAGAUACCCUGGUAGUCCACGCCGUAAACGAUGUCUACUUGGAGGUUGUGGCCUUGAGCCGUGGCUUUCGGAGCUAACGCGUUAAGUAGACCGCCUGGGGAGUACGGUCGCAAGAUUAAAACUCAAAUGAAUUGACGGGGGCCCGCACAAGCGGUGGAGCAUGUGGUUUAAUUCGAUGCAACGCGAAGAACCUUACCUACUCUUGACAUCCAGAGAACUUUCCAGAGAUGGAUUGGUGCCUUCGGGAACUCUGAGACAGGUGCUGCAUGGCUGUCGUCAGCUCGUGUUGUGAAAUGUUGGGUUAAGUCCCGCAACGAGCGCAACCCUUAUCCUUGUUUGCCAGCGAGUAAUGUCGGGAACUCCAGGGAGACUGCCGGUGAUAAACCGGAGGAAGGUGGGGACGACGUCAAGUCAUCAUGGCCCUUACGAGUAGGGCUACACACGUGCUACAAUGGCGCAUACAGAGGGC
Molecule: ribosomal RNA, 860 nt
Filed under: Vibrio parahaemolyticus
Lineage: Bacteria; Pseudomonadati; Pseudomonadota; Gammaproteobacteria; Vibrionales; Vibrionaceae
Description: bacterial SSU rRNA
Rfam family: Bacterial small subunit ribosomal RNA
Source: RNAcentral